GCUCAGCACCAGGGCGGAAGGAAGACGAGGCGAGGCAAGCGCCAAGCUUCCAUCCGGACUUCAAGGCCAGUGGCUGGGUCUGGUUUUCUCAACACGGCCUCCUAGUCUCCUUCCCGCUUGGGCAUCUGUUUUUCUUAUAUAGACCCUGAAGCCGCCCGUGAUGUUCUGUAAGCAGGUUCCGCUUCAGAAUCAGAGGUACUUAAGAGGGAACCUGGAUGCUAGACCUGCCCUUGCUGCUGGCCUCAGUUUCUUUACCUGUAAAACAGGGAUUUUGGAACUGUUAAAUUAAAUCAAACUUAAAAGAAUUACAACUUAAAGCUGCUGGAACUUUACAUGAUCCCGAGCCUUGAGAGGAAUGUGGCUAUGCAGCCUGAGUCAUGUGGCAUGCAGAUGCAACCUCUGCCUUUUUCCGCUGUAAAUAAUUAAGAAGACCAAGUAGCAUCCAAGGUAACAGAAUUUUGGAGAAAUUCCAAAUUGCAUGGUGGUGUUGAAAGCUUUCCCACUUCAGGAGCUGCUGCAGGAAGUCUCUAUUUGGCUGCCAGAAAAGAACACCUAAAAGCUGAGUCACUCAACAGAGUCACCUAAGCUGAAGAUUCCCUUGAGAACAAGUACUGUCCUGUGGUUUCAUGGCCUUUCUUCCAUUUGUGGUUCUUGCCAAGCGGAAUUUAAAUGACAUCUUAUCAAGAUGGAUAAACCCUAGUUUCCCAGUGCUGGAAUAUAGAAAAUGGAUGGACAAGUAAAUCCCACUCAGCACCCAUAGCCCAGGCAUGGGGACCUCAACACAUUUGAGCCGCAGAGAUCACCUUUCAUUGUGAAUAGCUCUGAGAUGAUACUUCUGGUUGAAUGUCUUUUUGUCACUUCCGGCUGGAUCUACCAUGAAAGAUUUCUGAAUCCAGGAAGAGAGAUUGACUGGGCAACAUGUUAUUCAGACAGGGUCUCACUCUGUCGCCCAGGCUGGAGUGCAGUGGCAUGAUCUUGGCUCACUGUAGUGUAGACUUCCCAGCCUCAAGGGAUCCUCCCACCCCAGACUCCCAAGUAGCUGGAAUUACAGGUAUGCACC
This 1060-nucleotide long non-coding RNA is filed under the name Homo sapiens (human). Its description in RNAcentral is "long intergenic non-protein coding RNA 265". Lineage: Eukaryota; Metazoa; Chordata; Mammalia; Primates; Hominidae. The record is from RNAcentral.